RNAcentral lists this long non-coding RNA (3493 nucleotides) under Triticum aestivum (bread wheat). RNAcentral describes it as "long non-coding RNA (TAES_LNC023808)". The record is from RNAcentral. Lineage: Eukaryota; Viridiplantae; Streptophyta; Magnoliopsida; Poales; Poaceae.
UCCAGAGUUUGGCUUGAGGCAUCAUUUUGCAGCUGAAAGGAAAUGGGCUCUUUGUCUUCAGGUAAUUUUGGUUUGAAAUUCAUCUUGCUAUAAUUGCAUUCGAAAUGCUUAGAUUCUCCUCAUUCAUGAUAUUUGAUAGUCUCGAGCUCAUCCACGAGAAAUCAUAACAACUGAAGUGCUUAAAGCUUUGCAAGAGCUGAAUGUUUGCUGGAAGAAGAUUGAGCACUAUAACAUGAAGUGCAGGUGGAGUCAGACUUUGUUGAGAACAUGAUGCAUAACCAAAGCAUCGGCAGCACCUGCGAGAGGAGGCUACCACUGCUUCCACUGUAUGGAACCAAUGUGUAUGUUGCCUCCUCUUUCUCCUUUCAUUACUACAUGCGAUUUUUAUUAGCUGAUUCGUGGCUUGAUUUUCAUUUGUAGAUUCAAACUACUCUCCUGUGAGGAUUUGUUCUGCUAUACAAUUUUCUUUCAUUUCCCAUCCAGGUUGUGUUCAAAUGAUAGGUGGCAUUGCAAAUUAUGACCAGUUUAAAUGUUGUUUAGUGAGGUAUGGUUUGCUCAUUAGCUUUUAUUGCUCAUUUCAUUUACCCGUUCAUUCCUGGCGGUUACCAUCUUAUACCCAAUAUAGAUUUGUAACAGAUUAGGUUUUGUUUGAACAUGAUUUUAUUUUUACAGUGGUACAUUAUAUGCAACAUUUGGGUUAAGCUUCUCAAAUGGCUAGCAUCAAUUAGGCUUGACCACCAAACUGAAACCAAAGAAUAUAAAAAGUUCAGUUAAGCAUCCAAAGCUUGCAGAGGGAUUUUUUUUAAGCAGUACACUAUAUAGUUAGCCAAGGGAAACUUCUAUUUUUGCUGCUUCCUGUUCCUGAAUUUUAUGUAUGAAAUCACUUGAGUGUGUUGUUUGCCCAUCGCUGAACCAACAGGAGCCUGUUGCCAUGUGUUUUUUAACUAAUCAGACUACUUGGAGACCAAUCUGCUAAAAGUGGUCUAACUAAGAAAAUGCUUUCUUCUAUCUGUACUAGAAACCGACAAUGACAACACCAUUUCUACAUAAUUGAACCAAGUGACUAAAAAAUUAUAAUGCAUGGUACAACUUUACCUGAGGAUUAUUUCUAUAGACGAAGAACACAGUUGCAUCUUUGCCUUCUAAAUUUUUAGUUAUUUUAAAAGAUAACUUAAUAAUAGAUGGAUAAAUGAGCUUGGCUUUCAAACCUGCGAGGUUUAGUAUUUCCUGUUGAAUUUACUUCUGUGUUUUGCCAGACUCCAUCCGCCAAUUGGAUAUAAGCUGAGGAAAGUUUCAUAUUUUACCUUGGAGCAUCUCUGAUUGAACACUAUUGACAUCUAAUUAGGUAGUCUGUACUUCGGAGGAGCUCGCUACUUCAAUUCUUUAUAUUAUUUAAUUAAUUGGGUGUGACAAUAUGUUGUACAUUAUAGACAUUUGCCACUUACACCAGAGACUCUUCCUUCUAACCUACUCAUCUCUACCUAUAUACAGCUAACUACAAUUUUGGUAUUGGGGAUAAUUACUGGAGUAACAGAUGCUUGAUUCCUCUUUGUACAAUUGUGUGUUCUUAGUAUAGAUGUAUGUUCGUAGUGUAGAAUAUACCUUCGUCUAGAAGAGGUCACAUUUUCUUCAUUCUAAUAAUCAUUCAUUGGACAUUGGUGUUCGUUAGUCGAUUAUUGUCUAAAUAAUUUUGCAAAAUCAGUAUGAUGAUGCAUGACUUCAGUCAGAAAUUUUUAUGACGCUGAUUUUUUUGGAAAUGUAAUGCCUAAAAUGCACUGUUCUGAAUUUGUUCACGAUAAUGGUUGUUGUUAAUAUUUUUUCAGUGCCUAACCACAAAAUCAUCGGCACACUUUAGGAUACCAGUUGUAUUUUGUAUCUUUGAGUGGCUAAUUUCAAAUUGAAACUGAGAUUGCUUACUGCUUACAGGCUGCUUACUGCUUACAAGAUUGAAAUUUGAACAUUUGUAGCUUCUAAAUGUAUUGUAGCACAUUUGGAUUAAUUCCUGAACAUAAACAAACAUGAUGAUCCAGAUCUAAUGAAAAUUCUGAAUGCAACUGGAAAACAUUUGUUUGUGCAAUGACCGUAUAAAUAAAACCAAAGUGCGGCUGAGUUGACGUUGAUAGACUUGUGCGUGCUCUGCCACUCGUAACCUUUUUUUUCUCCCAUCGAUCAUGUUCUAUCUCCAGUGCUCAUGUCUGAUGGUCAUUCCUAAUAGUAUGCUUAUUCUUUCAGGUUUAAGCUGCUUUCAGGUUUACCAAGCAUUCUCUACUGUAGUAUUUGGUCCUUCUCCCCUCCUCUUCUUAGUGCUUGCAUUUGAUGAAGCAAAACAUGCAUAUCUCAUCAGUGCUUGCUUGACUCUGGGCUGGAUCUCAGCGGCAUUUGCUCAACCUGCAGCUGUCUCUUGAUAUCCUUUUUGCGGUUUAGUAUUACAGUGAACCGACUCAUCAGCGUCGCAUGGGUACUUGGUGUCACGUCCACCCGCCGAGUUGACGAGUCAUAUAUUGCUUUCCAAAUUGUUCUUAUUCCUGUGACUCAUAAGUCGUAAUGCAAAAAUAAUAUGCGUCCAAGGAAGCAGGCCAGGAUAUAUAUUGCUUUCCCUAUAUAAAGUAUACUUCCUUAGUCCUCUCUGUUAACACCGAGUUUUUUUGUGUGUGGCUAUUAGCCAGGUAGCAGGCCAGAAUCUUACUCAUUGUUAUAUGAAUUAAAUAUGGAUUGUGUCAUGCCCACAGUACGAUAUGUAGGGCAAAAGAUCGGCCUAUUAGGUCAUUGUACUCUUCUUAGUUGGGUUGUGAACACCUCAGCUAUACUUGAUGUGUAGAGGCAUAUUCUUGCUAUAAUCUGUUCUGACUGCCAUGCUUCUUAGUUUCCAAUAUAUUAGUCCAACAAAUGAUGUUGCUUCCUAAUUUUUUGUAAUUACAAUAUGCUCUGAUAGACAUUUUAUAUGUUUCUCUAAUUCUUUGGUCUGGUUUCGAGCUCAGAUGUAUUUAAGGUUGUCUUGCAACAAUGCAUCUUUAGGGACCUGAAGUUCAUUAUUAAGAGAAGCUGAUGCUUGUGCGGAUUGUUGAAUCAAUCAAGAUGGAAUGCAAUAGAGUCUCAUUGGUACCAUUGCCGAUGACCACGAUGCAGACAUUCACUCUAUUAUCUGAGAUUUUUUUUGCUCAUCCCCUAUGGUAGAUGAUAGUUCAAGCUGUGAAUUAAUCCACUAUACAUAUUUUCAUCUUUUGUUGUGUUUUAGCAUAACCGUUGUCUGAUUUGAGUUUUUGUAAGCCUGCUGAAGUCCUAUUGAUUGUGUUCCUGCAACUCAGUUUUCAUCAAAGGGGUGUCUUCUGAAAAUUAAGAGAAUAACUAAUUGUAUAUGCUAUUUAUUUGUGUACUUUUUGUGAGAUUCAGAUGAUGCACACUUGAAUUAUAAUUGAAUCAUGUGUCCUCGGCUAUUGAGGCCUAAUGAAAACUUUUUAUUGUAUUAUUGGUUAAUUUGCUUCUUUUAAGAAGG